This 253-nucleotide ribosomal RNA is filed under the name uncultured bacterium. Its description in RNAcentral is "partial 16S ribosomal RNA". It matches the Rfam family "Bacterial small subunit ribosomal RNA", at positions 524 to 776 of the family's 1533-position model. The record is from RNAcentral.
UACAGAGGUCUCAAGCGUUGUUCGGAUUCAUUGGGCGUAAAGGGUGCGUAGGUGGCAUGGUAAGUCGGAUGUGAAAUCCCGGGGCUCAACCCCGGAACUGCAUUCGAUACUGCUGCGCUAGAGUACUGGAGAGGAGAUUGGAAUUUACGGUGUAGCAGUGAAAUGCGUAGAUAUUGUGAGGAACACUAGUGGCGAAGGCGAGACUCUGGACAGUUCCUGACGCUGAGGCACGAAGGCCAGGGGAGCAAACGGG